AAGAAGAAGCCUGCGGGUCGCUGAGUGAAGUGGGUUUCUGGGCGCCAGGCAGACCCCGGGAGUCUUGGAGGCUGCGGCAAAGGCUCGGUCUGGGACUGCCGGGCGCGGAGCGGGAAGCGCCUUUGUAGUCUGGCUUCCAGAAUCGGGAUAGACGCUUUCCCACUAAACCUACGCGAAGCAACACUAAAGGAGGUUGACCAUGAUUGCGAAGAAACCUAACGUUUC
Molecule: long non-coding RNA, 225 nt
Organism: Neotoma lepida (desert woodrat)
Lineage: Eukaryota; Metazoa; Chordata; Mammalia; Rodentia; Cricetidae
Rfam family: WT1 antisense RNA conserved region 3
Source: Rfam